Molecule: ribosomal RNA, 394 nt
Filed under: uncultured bacterium
Lineage: Bacteria
Description: bacterial SSU rRNA
Rfam family: Bacterial small subunit ribosomal RNA
Source: RNAcentral
UGAGGAAUAUUGGUCAAUGGGCGCGAGCCUGAACCAGCCAAGUAGCGUGAAGGAUGAAGGUCCUAUGGAUUGUAAACUUCUUUUAUAGCAGAAUAAAGUGACCCACGUGUGGGUUUUUGUAUGUAUGCUAUGACUAAGGAUCGGCUAACUCCGUGCCAGCAGCCGCGGUAAUACGGAGGAUCCGAGCGUUAUCCGGAUUUAUUGGGUUUAAAGGGUGCGUAGGCGGAAAGAUAAGUCAGCCUGUGAAAGUUGGCGGCUCAACCGUAAAAUUGCAGUUGUUACUGUUUUUCUUGGGUGUACAUAAGGUAGGCGGAGUUCGUGGUGUAGCCGUGAAAUGCUUAGAUAUCACGAAGAACUCCGAUUGCGAGGGCAGCUUACCGGGGUACAACUGACG